UACGUAGGGAGCAAGCGUUGUUCGGAUUUACUGGGCGUAAAGGGCGCGUAGGCGGGAUGGCAAGUCGGUCGUGAAAUCCCUCGGCUCAACCGAGGAACGUCGAUCGAUACUGCUGUUCUUGAGGAUUGCAGAGGAGACUGGAAUUCCCGGUGUAGCGGUGAAAUGUGUAGAGAUCGGGAGGAACACCGGUGGCGAAGGCGGGUCUCUGGGCAAUUCCUGACGCUGAGGCGUGAAAGCGUGGGGAGCAAACGGG
RNAcentral lists this ribosomal RNA (253 nucleotides) under uncultured bacterium. RNAcentral describes it as "partial 16S ribosomal RNA". It matches the Rfam family "Bacterial small subunit ribosomal RNA", at positions 524 to 776 of the family's 1533-position model. The record is from RNAcentral.